AGUAUCGUAGCUCAAUGGUUAGAGUGCUCGGUUGUCUCCCGAGAAGUUGCGAGUUCGAAUCUCGUCGGUACUG
RNAcentral lists this transfer RNA (73 nucleotides) under Flavobacteriales bacterium ALC-1. It matches the Rfam family "tRNA". From Rfam's summary of the family: Transfer RNA (tRNA) molecules are approximately 80 nucleotides in length. Their secondary structure includes four short double-helical elements and three loops (D, anti-codon, and T loops). RNAcentral also lists the same sequence under 1 other name. The record is from Rfam by way of RNAcentral. Lineage: Bacteria; Pseudomonadati; Bacteroidota; Flavobacteriia; Flavobacteriales.